This 467-nucleotide ribosomal RNA is filed under the name uncultured bacterium. RNAcentral describes it as "partial 16S ribosomal RNA". It matches the Rfam family "Bacterial small subunit ribosomal RNA", at positions 28 to 507 of the family's 1533-position model. The record is from RNAcentral.
GACGAACGCUGGCGGCGUGCUUAACACAUGCAAGUCGAACGGAAAGGCUCCAGCUUGCUGGAGUCCUCGAGUGGCGAACGGGUGAGUAACACGUGGGUAAUCUGCCCUGCACUCUGGGAUAAGCCUGGGAAACUGGGUCUAAUACUGGAUAUGACCUUUCUCCUUAUGGGGUUUGGUGGAAAGUUUUUCGGUGUAGGAUGAGCCCGCGGCCUAUCAGCUUGUUGGUGGGGUGAUGGCCUACCAAGGCGACGACGGGUAGCCGGCCUGAGAGGGUGAACGGCCACAAUGGGACUGAGAUACGGACCAGACUCCUACGGGAGGCAGCAGUGGGGAAUAUUGCACAAUGGGCGGAAGCCUGAUGCAGCGACGCCGCGUGAGGGAUGACGGCCUUCGGGUUGUAAACCUCUUUCAGCAGGGACGAAGCGCAAGUGACGGUACCUGCAGAAGAAGCACCGGCUAACUAUGUG